GACGAACGCUGGCGGCGUGCUUAACACAUGCAAGUCGAACGGAAAGGCCCCCACUUUUUUGGUGGGGGUGCUCGAGUGGCGAACGGGUGAGUAACACGUGGGUGAUCUGCCCUGUACUUCGGGAUAAGCUUGGGAAACUGGGUCUAAUACCGGAUAGGACCAUGGUUUAGUGUCUCAUGGUGGAAAAAUUAUUGUUUUGGUGCAGGAUGAGCUCGCGGCCUAUCAGCUUGUUGGUGGGGUAAUGGCCUACCAAGGCGUCGACGGGUAGCCGGCCUGAGAGGGUGGACGGCCACAUUGGGACUGAGAUACGGCCCAGACUACUACGGGAGGCAGCAGUGGGGAAUAUUGCACAAUGGGCGCAAGCCUGAUGCAGCGACGCCGCGUGGGGGAUGACGGCCUUCGGGUUGUAAACUCCUUUCGUUAGGGACGAAGCCGCACCUUUUUUGGGUGUGGUGACGGUACCUUUGUUAAGAAGCACCGGCUAACUACGUG
This 492-nucleotide ribosomal RNA is filed under the name uncultured bacterium. RNAcentral's name for it is "partial 16S ribosomal RNA". It matches the Rfam family "Bacterial small subunit ribosomal RNA", at positions 28 to 507 of the family's 1533-position model. The record is from RNAcentral.